GUUUCCUACGGGGGGCAGCAGUGGGGAAUAUUGGACAAUGGGGGGAACCCUGAUCCAGCCAUGCCGCGUGUGUGAAGAAGGCCUUAUGGUUGUAAAGCACUUUAAGCGAGGAGGAGGCUCCUGUAGUUAAUACCUACAGAGAGUGGACGUUACUCGCAGAAUAAGCACCGGCUAACUCUGUGCCAGCAGCCGCGGUAAUACAGAGGGUGCGAGCGUUAAUCGGAUUUACUGGGCGUAAAGCGUGCGUAGGCGGCUUUUUAAGUCGGAUGUGAAAUCCCCGAGCUUAACUUGGGAAUUGCAUUCGA
Molecule: ribosomal RNA, 305 nt
Filed under: uncultured bacterium
Lineage: Bacteria
Description: bacterial SSU rRNA
Rfam family: Bacterial small subunit ribosomal RNA
Source: RNAcentral